UUGGACUUCAAAUCCCAGAAGCCCCGUCCAACUUGGCCAGUGGUAAGAAAUGAUAGGAUCUGAAGUCCACCACGUCUGGAGGACCAAAGACUGGGGACCACUGACUUAAAAUUUGUCUUGUAGAUAAAAUCUCAAAAUGAAAGUGUGAUGCUAUUGUGGGUUUAUUCAGCCUUUGCCUUUCUCAAAUUCCUUGUAGGCUGAAGGAGAAACCAAGGGUGACAAGGCCAAAGCAAAGGAUGAGCCACAGCGGAGAUCAGCAAGAUUAUCUGCUAAACCUGCUCCUCCAAAGCCGGAACCCAACCUAAAAAGGCAGCUCCAAGGUG
Molecule: long non-coding RNA, 323 nt
Organism: Sceloporus undulatus (fence lizard)
Lineage: Eukaryota; Metazoa; Chordata; Lepidosauria; Squamata; Phrynosomatidae
Exons: 3
Source: RefSeq, a predicted model, not a curated record